AGAGUUUGAUCCUGGCUCAGAACGAACGCUGGUGGUAUGCUUAACACAUGCAAGUCGAACGGACGUGGCCUAGCUUGCUGGGAUUCUGUCAGUGGCGAACGGGUGAGUAACGCGUGGGAAUCUACCCAGUAGUAGGGAAUAACAGUCAGAAAUGACUGCUAAUACCCUAUACGCCCUUCGGGGGAAAGAUUUAUUGCUAUUGGAUGAGCCCGCGUUAGAUUAGUUUGUUGGUAGGGUAAAAGCCUACCAAGGCUACGAUCUAUAGCUGGUCUGAGAGGAUGAUCAGCCACACUGGGACUGAGACACGGCCCAGACUCCUACGGGAGGCAGCAGUGGGGAAUAUUGGACAAUGGGCGAAAGCCUGAUCCAGCAAUACCACGUGAGUGAUGAAGGCCUUCGGGUUGUAAAGCUCUUUCAGCAGGGAAGAUAAUGACGGUACCUGCAGAAGAAGCACCGGCUAACUCCGUGCCAGCAGCCGCGGUAAUACGGAGGGUGCUAGCGUUGUUCGGAAUUACUGGGCGUAAAGAGCGCGUAGGCGGUUUGUCAAGUUGGAAGUGAAAUCCCGGGGCUUAACCUCGGAACUGCUUUCAAAACUGGCUUACUAGAGUUAUGCAGAGGAUAGUGGAAUUCCUAAUGUAGAGGUGAAAUUCGUAGAUAUUAGGAGGAACACCAGAGGCGAAGGCGACUAUCUGGGCAUAUACUGACGCUGAGGCGCGAAAGUGUGGGGAGCAAACAGGAUUAGAUACCCUGGUAGUCCACACUGUAAACGAUGAGUGCUAGGUAUUGGACUUUUAGUUCAGUGUCGAAGCUAACGCGUUAAGCACUCCGCCUGGGGACUACGGUCGCAAGACUAAAACUCAAAGGAAUUGACGG
Molecule: ribosomal RNA, 873 nt
Filed under: uncultured marine bacterium
Lineage: Bacteria
Description: bacterial SSU rRNA
Rfam family: Bacterial small subunit ribosomal RNA
Source: RNAcentral